GUCUGCUUAACACAUGCAAGUCGAACGGGAUGCUUUCGGGCAUCUAGUGGCGGACGGGUGAGUAACGCGUGAGAAUCUGCCCUCAGGAUGGGGACAACGACUGGAAACGGUCGCUAAUACCCAAUGUGCCGAGAGGUGAAACUUAUAUGGCCUGAGGAUGAGCUCGCGUCUGAUUAGCUAGUUGGUAGUGUAAUGGACUACCAAGGCGACGAUCAGUAGCUGGUCUGAGAGGAUGAUCAGCCACACUGGGACUGAGACACGGCCCAGACUCCUACGGGAGGCAGCAGUGGGGAAUUUUCCGCAAUGGGCGAAAGCCUGACGGAGCAAGACCGCGUGAGGGAGGAAGGCCUACUGGUUGUAAACCUCUUUUGAUAGGGAAGAACACAAUGACGGUACCUAUCGAAUCAGCAUCGGCUAACUCCGUGCCAGCAGCCGCGGUAAUACGGAGGAUGCAAGCGUUAUCCGGAAUUAUUGGGCGUAAAGCGUCCGUAGG
This 493-nucleotide ribosomal RNA is filed under the name uncultured cyanobacterium. Its description in RNAcentral is "bacterial SSU rRNA". It matches the Rfam family "Bacterial small subunit ribosomal RNA", at positions 42 to 575 of the family's 1533-position model. Lineage: Bacteria; Bacillati; Cyanobacteriota. The record is from RNAcentral.